Molecule: ribosomal RNA, 408 nt
Filed under: uncultured bacterium
Lineage: Bacteria
Description: partial 16S ribosomal RNA
Rfam family: Bacterial small subunit ribosomal RNA
Source: RNAcentral
GACGAACGCUGGCGGCGUGCUUAACACAUGCAAUUCGAACGAAGUGGCGAACGGGUGAGUAACGCGUAAUCAACCUGCCCUUCAGAGGGGGACAACAGUUGGAAACGACUGCUAAUACCGCAUACUGAAGAAGGGGAGUGCGUCUGAUUGGCUAGUUGGGGGGGUAACGGGCCACCAAGGCGAGGAUCAGUCGCCGGGCUGAUAGGAUGAACGGGACCAUUGGGACUGAGACACGGCCCAGACUCCUACGGGAGGCAGCAGUGGGGAAUCUUCCGCAAUGGACGAAAGUCUGACGGAGCAACGCCGCGGGAGUGAUGACGGCCUUCUGGUUGUAAAGCUCUGUUAAUCGGGACGCGGUACCGGAAUAGAAAGCCACGGCUAACUACGUGCCAGCCGCCGCGGUAAUAC